This 647-nucleotide ribosomal RNA is filed under the name uncultured Pseudomonas sp. RNAcentral's name for it is "bacterial SSU rRNA". It matches the Rfam family "Bacterial small subunit ribosomal RNA", at positions 8 to 650 of the family's 1533-position model. The record is from RNAcentral. Lineage: Bacteria; Pseudomonadati; Pseudomonadota; Gammaproteobacteria; Pseudomonadales; Pseudomonadaceae.
AGAGUUUGAUCCUGGCUCAGAUUGAACGCUGGCGGCAGGCCUAACACAUGCAAGUCGAGCGGUAGAGAGGAGCUUGCUCCUCUUGAGAGCGGCGGACGGGUGAGUAAUGCCUAGGAAUCUGCCUGGUAGUGGGGGAUAACGUUCGGAAACGGACGCUAAUACCGCAUACGUCCUACGGGAGAAAGCAGGGGACCUUCGGGCCUUGCGCUAUCAGAUGAGCCUAGGUCGGAUUAGCUAGUUGGUGAGGCAAUGGCUCACCAAGGCGACGAUCCGUAACUGGUCUGAGAGGAUGAUCAGUCACACUGGAACUGAGACACGGUCCAGACUCCUACGGGAGGCAGCAGUGGGGAAUAUUGGACAAUGGGCGAAAGCCUGAUCCAGCCAUGCCGCGUGUGUGAAGAAGGUCUUCGGAUUGUAAAGCACUUUAAGUUGGGAGGAAGGGCAGUUACCUAAUACGUAAUUGUUUUGACGUUACCGACAGAAUAAGCACCGGCUAACUCUGUGCCAGCAGCCGCGGUAAUACAGAGGGUGCAAGCGUUAAUCGGAAUUACUGGGCGUAAAGCGCGCGUAGGUGGUUUGUUAAGUUGGAUGUGAAAUCCCCGGGCUCAACCUGGGAACUGCAUUCAAAACUGACUGACUAGAGUAUG